RNAcentral lists this ribosomal RNA (80 nucleotides) under Clostridioides difficile. RNAcentral describes it as "partial 16S ribosomal RNA". It matches the Rfam family "Bacterial small subunit ribosomal RNA", at positions 1454 to 1533 of the family's 1533-position model. The record is from RNAcentral. Lineage: Bacteria; Bacillati; Bacillota; Clostridia; Peptostreptococcales; Peptostreptococcaceae.
CGUCGAAGGUGGAAUCAAUAACUGGGGUGAAGUCGUAACAAGGUAGCCGUAUCGGAAGGUGCGGCUGGAUCACCUCCUUU